This 1242-nucleotide long non-coding RNA is filed under the name Olea europaea subsp. europaea. Lineage: Eukaryota; Viridiplantae; Streptophyta; Magnoliopsida; Lamiales; Oleaceae. The record is from RNAcentral.
AAUAAAGAUAACCAUAUGCAGCUUAAGCAUAUAGUAAAGAAACAAAUCUGUUAAUUUAGAUUUUUGUCUUCAAAAUACUCAUGUUUGCAAACUAAGAAGAAUACAAUUAUAAGUUUUUACCUCAUUAUUGAGAAAAUUUACUGCACAGUUCAAAGUCCUCAUCCUCCUCUUCCAAGCAUGGCAUGCUAGAGGAUGGAGUGGAAAUAGACAAAUGGUUUCUAGGUAUGUCUAUUUGAAAUUCCAAGCUCGCUAUUAUGUCAUCUCCACAAUCUAAUAGCUUGUGUUCGCACAAAAGAGCUUAUAACAAGAUACUACACAUGUUUUGCAGGCAAAGAGCUGCUAAAUAUAUGUAAAAUUGUUAAUGGCUAAUUUAUAUACAUAUUUCACAUCUAAAGGUUUUCUAUUAUACACACAUGAUUUAAAGAUAUUUACACAUUUAUCAACGUAGAUAAACAAAAACAAAUAGAAAUGCACAUACAAGAAUAAUAUGCAAAGGUUUGCAAGUGCAUAAUUUUUGACAACAAAUUACGUAUUUCACAUCUAAAAAUUUUCUGUUAUACACUAUGAUACUUUAUAUAUAUAUAUAGACACAAACCUACAAAGUGCUUGAUUUUUGCAGAAUUGUUAAUGACCAAUUUACAUAUUUCACGCCUAAAAGUUUUCUAGUAUACAAGUACGAUAUAUAAAAUGCAUGGAUAGAAACAGACACUGUAUACAUUUAAUUACAUAAAUAUCAACACAAAAAUACAUACGAGCAAACAGAAAUAUAUAUACAAUUACGUACGGGUAGUAUUCACUUUGAAUGACAAUUUAUUUUCAUUUUCUAGAUCUUAACUAAGUACCGAUGCUUAUGAGAGGAGAAACCUAAAAUUGUGGCAAGUUAAUUUCUUAAUAUUUCACUAGUUCACAAUUUUCUCAACAUUUACGAUUAGAGAGGUCAACAUUUUUUCAAAACUUCAAUUCUACGAAAUUUUUCCAAAGAUUUGCAACUCACAUCGUUCAAAGACCAUCGAUUAUAUUUGCAAGCCUUUCCAUAUUGUAUUUGUCCUCCUCGCCACCGUUUGAGAGUAGUUCUUCUUGCAACGUUUGGGUUUGUCUUCUCUCUCGAACUGUUCCCCCUGGACUUUAAGGUUUUUAUCACUCUCGAAGGUUUACAUCUCUAUUGUGAUUUUGAAUUAUUAAUUGUAAUUAUAUAACCCUUUCAAGUAUGCUUGUUCAUAUUUGUAAAUAUUUUCACAAAUG